This 253-nucleotide ribosomal RNA is filed under the name uncultured bacterium. RNAcentral describes it as "partial 16S ribosomal RNA". It matches the Rfam family "Bacterial small subunit ribosomal RNA", at positions 524 to 776 of the family's 1533-position model. The record is from RNAcentral.
UACGUAGGGUGCAAGCGUUGUCCGGAAUUAUUGGGCGUAAAGAGCUCGUAGGCGGUCUGUCACGUCGGCUGUGAAAACCCGAGGCUCAACCUCGGGCCUGCAGUCGAUACGGGCAAACUAGAGUACUGCAGGGGAGACUGGAAUUCCUGGUGUAGCGGUGAAAUGCGCAGAUAUCAGGAGGAACACCGGUGGCGAAGGCGGGUCUCUGGGCCGAUAUCGACGCUGAGGAGCGAAAGCGUGGGGAGCGAACAGG